GUCGAACGAACUUCUGGUAUUGAUUGGGUGCUUGCAUUCAUGAUUUACAUUUGAGUGAGUGGCGAACUUGGUGAAGUAACACGUGGGAAACCUCGCCCAGAAGCGGGGGAUAACACCUGGAAACAGAUGCUAAUACCGCAUAACAACUUGGACCGCAUGGUCCGAGUUUGAAAGAUGGCUUCGGCUAUCACUUUUGGAUGGUCCCGCGGCGUAUUAGCUAGAUGGUGGGGUAACGGCUCACCAUGGCAAUGAUACGUAGCCGACCUGAGAGGGUAAUCGGCCACAUUGGGACUGAGACACGGCCCAAACUCCUACGGGAGGCAGCAGUAGGGAAUCUUCCACAAUGGACGAAAGUCUGAUGGAGCAACGCCGCGUGAGUGAAGAAGGGUUUCGGCUCGUAAAACUCUGUUGUUAAAGAAGAACAUAUCUGAGAGUAACUGUUCAGGUAUUGACGGUAUUUAACCAGAAAGCCACGGCUAACUACGUGCCAGCAGCCGCGGUAAUACGUAGGUGGCAAGCGUUGUCCGGAUUUAUUGGGCGUAAAGCGAGCGCAGGCGGUUUUUUAAGUCUGAUGUGAAAGCCUUCGGCUCAACCGAAGAAGUGCAUCGGAAACUGGGAAACUUGAGUGCAGAAGAGGACAGUGGAACUCCAUGUGUAGCGGUGAAAUGCGUAGAUAUAUGGAAGAACACCAGUGGCGAAAGGCGGCUGUCUGGUCUGUAACUGACGCUGAGGCUCGAAAGUAUGGGUAGCAAACAGGAUUAGAUACCCUGGUAGUCCAUACCGUAACGAUGAAUGCUAGUGUUGAGGGUUUCGCC
This 815-nucleotide ribosomal RNA is filed under the name Lactiplantibacillus plantarum. RNAcentral's name for it is "bacterial SSU rRNA". It matches the Rfam family "Bacterial small subunit ribosomal RNA", at positions 61 to 835 of the family's 1533-position model. Lineage: Bacteria; Bacillati; Bacillota; Bacilli; Lactobacillales; Lactobacillaceae. The record is from RNAcentral.